Molecule: unclassified non-coding RNA, 90 nt
Filed under: Pseudomonas poae
Lineage: Bacteria; Pseudomonadati; Pseudomonadota; Gammaproteobacteria; Pseudomonadales; Pseudomonadaceae
Source: RNAcentral
UGUAGGAGCGGGCUUGCUCGCGAAGGUGGUGUGGCAUUCGCUGAAUCCGGUGACUGGCACAGCGCUUUCGCGAGCAAGCCCGCUCCCCAU